UACGGAGGGUCCGAGCGUUAAUCGGAAUUACUGGGCGUAAAGCGCGCGUAGGCGGUCAGAUCAGUCAACUGUGAAAGCCCUGGGCUCAACCUGGGAACUGCAGCUGAUACUGUCUGACUAGAGUUUGGUAGAGGAGUGUGGAAUUUCCUGUGUAGCGGUGAAAUGCGUAGAUAUAGGAAGGAACACCAGUGGCGAAGGCGACACUCUGGACCAAAACUGACGCUGAGGUGCGAAAGCGUGGGGAGCAAACAGG
This 253-nucleotide ribosomal RNA is filed under the name uncultured bacterium. RNAcentral describes it as "partial 16S ribosomal RNA". It matches the Rfam family "Bacterial small subunit ribosomal RNA", at positions 524 to 776 of the family's 1533-position model. The record is from RNAcentral.